CUAACACAGAUGCUUGGCGUAUUCGGCAAAUUGGAAGAUGUGGCAAACUGAACUUGCAAUCCUAACUGAAAGACGUUCUCGGAGAGUGAGUGUAGCUCUGCUCUGAGUGGGGACGCAUCCCAGGCGCCACCACCGCUGCGGUCUUCCUCCAGGUGGAGCUGUUCCGCGUGACCACGCUUGUGCCGCUGUUUAAAACCAGAGAGAUACUUUCUAAUUGUGUGUCUUUCAAAGUGUCCACAAGAAAAUGAGAAGGCUCAACUUAGCAGACAUAAACUUUCCACAUGAUCACAAUGUUCCCCAAAUGUCUGCUGAACAGAAACAGUCUUGCCAAAAGAGCAUUAAAAAUAGAAGACAGCACCCUCAAACACCCCUCCGUGCACUAAGCCCGUUUCCGGGUAGCAGUCAGGCCCUGGGCCCGGGCUCCAUGCUUCACCGAGCUCUGGCCGCCCUCGGAGCCCAUCUUCGGGCGCUGGGCCUUCGUUCAUCCACUCCGGUACCCGAGGGCCAAGCCGCCGCGUGCCCCAGAGCCUCGGGACCUGCUGCCCUCCCUGUCUACAAAGCAGCCACAGAGCCUGCUCGGUGAGCCUCAGAGAUCAGCGAGACGGCAGAGGGGAAGGCGCGCAGGAGGGGAAGCUGGUGUGGAAAGGACUGAGACGUGCUGCGUAUCACUCCACGAGGAACGCAGCCAUCACACACGAGACGCGCUAAUAAAAAUAAAAACUUGCAAAAGAUUGAAAGAAGAUC
This 744-nucleotide long non-coding RNA is filed under the name Fukomys damarensis (Damara mole-rat). RNAcentral's name for it is "lncRNA (ENSFDAG00000024410.1)". The record is from RNAcentral. Lineage: Eukaryota; Metazoa; Chordata; Mammalia; Rodentia; Bathyergidae.